GAAAGGAAGAAAAGUCACUUUUAGAAACAAGGCUCCCCCGAAAGGAGGCACAGGGUGGGGUGAGGAGGCGCUUGCCCGGUGAGCCAAACGACGCGACGCUCUCUACUUGGCUGUCAAGUAAGGCUCCUGGGAGAGGAGCACCAGUAAAGCUCCGAACGUGGUUAUCCUGGUCGUCCCCUGAGCAGCUGGUGGGGGUGUGGGCGCAGGAGACGAAUGGGUGCAAAUUCCAGGCUCACCGUUUAUGUGGACAUCUAGCUUCCCAGUAGUGCCAGGCUUCAACAGCACUCUCCCCCUUGAUACAAAAGGAGGUGAGAAUGGGACUUAUGAGGGCUGAGAGCAAGUUCAUCACCACUCCCGGCGCUCUCAUCCUCUUCUACAAAGGACAUCUGUAUCUUCUAUCUAACUCAGUGAGGGCCAAAGGGCAUUUGAGUAGAUUUCUGGCCGCCCUAACUUCUCUUCUUUCUCUUCCCUUAAUUCUCACAGGGACCAGAAGACCAUAAAGGUUUAGGAACAGAAAUGAAAAUCCAGAACCUGCAAUGGUAAAAGUCUCAACAUCCAUUCUUAAAAUCCAGAACACAGAUAUCGCAAUGGGUCAGGGGCACAGCUAAUGCGGAGAGGAGGAAAACCAAGCCUCAGAGAAAUGAAGAACAAAUGCAAGUGAAAAAAGGACAAGUAUCGGCCCAAAACUGAGGGCCUUGCGGAGAAGUCCUGAUAAGUCUCCAAGUGCUAUUGGAUCCCUGAUGCAGUUCACACAGGGCCCACCUGCAGCCAGGAGUUGACAUGCAAAAUCCCAACAACGUGGAAUGAACCCUAGACGAGCACAUCGUUCUUGCACCAGGUCACCCUGGGAAUCGCAGGCUGACCCUGGAUUGAUCUGGGAUAGGGUCUCGUGGCCUCCUGACCUCCUGUGUGAUGCUUGGGAUGCUCUGGGAUGAGUGCCAGCAUUUAAAGAAAAACUCCCAGUUUAGCUUUAGUCCGAGGACAGAGAACCGAAGUGUCUAGACCACUGCUCUCAAAGACCUGUCUUCAGAACACUGCUUAUAUGAGGUUUGUACUGGUUUACAGUGAAAUGAGGAAGAGAGAAAUAAUUAAUCGUAUU
Molecule: long non-coding RNA, 1099 nt
Organism: Lynx canadensis (Canada lynx)
Lineage: Eukaryota; Metazoa; Chordata; Mammalia; Carnivora; Felidae
Exons: 4
Source: RefSeq, a predicted model, not a curated record